AGAGGAGCUCCCGGUCAGGGAUAUGGGGUCCGCCCUAAGUCACUCCGCCAGGCCCAGCCCACCAACUCCCAACCCCAUUGUUGGCCUCGGCGGCCAACAGGGCCCUGGACUGUCAGCACCGUCAGGAGAAGUUUUGCAAGAAGACCCUUGUGAGCGGAGGACACACAGACACCUGAGAGCAGAACACAACCUGACAUCUCUGUCCUGAAGCCCAGAGAGACUUGCCUGCCUUGCCAGCAUCCUCCUCCCCUCCCCAUCACCUCAUCAAAUGGAAGAAACUGU
Gadus chalcogrammus (walleye pollock) is the source of this 282-nucleotide long non-coding RNA. RefSeq lists it as uncharacterized. The record is from RefSeq and is a predicted model, not a curated record. The transcript has 3 exons. NCBI's taxonomy places the organism in Eukaryota, Metazoa, Chordata, Actinopteri, Gadiformes, Gadidae.